RNAcentral lists this unclassified non-coding RNA (745 nucleotides) under Hevea brasiliensis (rubber tree). Lineage: Eukaryota; Viridiplantae; Streptophyta; Magnoliopsida; Malpighiales; Euphorbiaceae. The record is from RNAcentral.
GCUUACAUCGGUAACAAUUUCUUCACGUACAUUUUAUUGAGUUUGAUUUCCUAUCCUUUUUGGUUUCUUCAAUAGGGAAUUGAAAUAGACUGCUGGGUUUUGUAGACUUUGCAGUUUAAUUCUUGGGUUUUAUUGAAAUUGGAAAUUUUGCUCAACCGGGACAAGUAGCUCUAGCUUGUUGGGGUUUUGGUUUGUUUUCUUUUUCUUGUCUCUGUUUUUUCUUGAGAAAUUGGCGAAAUUCAAGAACUGGGACAAUAAAAUAUAUGUGCCUUCUGCUAUUGAAUUAUGUUACUUGGGUGUUUUUAGAAAGUAAGAUUCUGUGUUGUGAAGUUAGAUAACCUUCAAAGCUAUACCUAUCAACAAUUUUCGCAAUUUCAUCUCCCAAAUAAUGGUUUAGCUGUGUUUCAAGUGGGCUUUCGGCAAGCAAUUGGAGGACAGAUUAUCGUUUUGCAAAAGAUUAAAGAUGUUACUGAAUCUUGAGUUACAUGGUUUCUUAAGCUCCCAAAGUUUUGAUAGAAUCAUCAUUAAGUGAAUGUUUUACUUCCUUAUCGUGGAAAAUUGGAUUUUUAGUCUGCAUUGCUUUUCUGUUAUUAAGCAGAUUUUUUUUUUUAAAAUAAGUGAGAACCUUAGAAAUGCGAUUGAGAUUAUAUUAUUGUUUUUGCAGUGAAAGUUGGAAUUCCAGAGUUUCUAAAUGGAAUAGGUAAAGGAGUUGAAGCCCAUGCAGCCAAGCUUGAAUCUGAGAUUG